CAGCAGCCGCGGUAACACGAAGGGUGCAAGCGUUAAUCGGAAUUACUGGGCGUAAAGCGUGCGUAGGCGGUUUGUUAAGUCUGCUGUGAAAUCCCCGGGCUCAACCUGGGAAUGGCAGUGGAUACUGGCAAGCUAGAGUGUGUCAGAGGAUGGUGGAAUUCCCGGUGUAGCGGUGAAAUGCGUAGAGAUCGGGAGGAACAUCAGUGGCGAAGGCGGCCAUCUGGGACAACACUGACGCUGAGGCACGAAAGCGUGGGGAGCAAACAGGAUUAGAUACCCCAGUAGUCCCUGUCUCUUAUAC
Molecule: ribosomal RNA, 301 nt
Filed under: uncultured bacterium
Lineage: Bacteria
Description: partial 16S ribosomal RNA
Rfam family: Bacterial small subunit ribosomal RNA
Source: RNAcentral